Nannospalax galili (Upper Galilee mountains blind mole rat) is the source of this 1407-nucleotide RNA transcript. It is a transcript of the gene named forkhead box protein N3 pseudogene, with no coding region annotated. The record is from RefSeq and is a predicted model, not a curated record. NCBI's taxonomy places the organism in Eukaryota, Metazoa, Chordata, Mammalia, Rodentia, Spalacidae. The transcript has a single exon.
CGCGGGUCCCCGCGCCUGCUCCGGCCAGGAGCCUUCACGUAAAUGGGUCCAGUCAUGCCUGCCAGUAAGAAGCCCGAAAGCUCAGGAAUCAGUGCAUCCAGGGGACUGAGUCAGUGUUACCGGGGCAGCGGUUUCUCCAAGGCCCUCCAGGAAGACGAUGACCUCGACUUCCCUCUGCCUGACAUCAGAUUAGAAGAGGGGACCAUGGAAGAUGAAGAGCUGACCAACCUGAACUGGCUGCACGAGAGCAAGAAUUUGCUGAAGAGUUUCCGGGAGUCGGUCCUCAGGAGUGUGAGCCCGGUCCAGGACCUGGACGAUGACACCCCACCCUCUCCUGCCCACUCAGACAUGCCCUACGAUGCCAGGCAGAACCCUAACUGCAAGCCCCCCUACUCUUUUAGCUGCCUCAUGUUUAUGGCCAUCGAGGAAUCUCCAACGACGCGCCUGCCAGUGAAGAAUAUCUACACACUGGAUCUUAGAACAUUUCCCAUAUUUUGCGAAUGCCCCUGCUGGGUGGAAAAACUCAGUGAGACGUAGUUUGUCAUUGAAUACGUGUUUUAAGAAAGUGGACAAAGAGAGAAGUCAGAGUAUUGGGAAAGGGUCGUUGUGGUGCGUAGACCCAGAGUAUAGACAAAAUCUAAUUCCGGCUUUGAAAAAGACACCUUACCACCCACCUCCCACUCCUCAGGCAUAUCAAAGCACAUCAAGUCUACCCAUCUGGUCGGGCAGUACCUUCUUCAAGAGAAACGGAGCCCUUCUGCAAGUUCCUCCAGGAGUGAUACAAAAUGGAGCGCGAGUUCUGAGCCGAGGGCUGUUUCCUGGCGUCCGCCCCUUGCCAAUAACUCCCAUUGGGAUGACGGCAGCCAUGAGGAACGGCAUCACCAGUUGCCGGAUGCGGACUGAGAGCGAGCCAUCGUGUGGUCAGUGGAGACCCCAAGGAGGAUCACAACUGCAGCGGUGCUAAGUCCUCCAAUGCCCAGAGCACCUCGCCUGUCAGCGACUCCAUUUCUUCCUCCUCCUCAGCCGACGACCACUAUGAGUUUGCCACGGAGGGGAGACAGGAAGGCAGUGAAGGCAGUGAGGGAAGCUUCCAGAGCCAGGAGAGCCACAGCGAGACAGAGGAGGAUGACAGGAAACCUAGCCAGAAGGAGGAUGCCCUGGGGGACAGCGGCUGUGUUUCCCAGCACAAGAAGCGCCAGCACUUGGCCAAGACCAGGAAGGUCCCCAGUGACACGCUGCCCCUCAAAAAGAGAGGCACAGAAAAGCGACCCGAGAGCGACGAUGAGGAGAUGAAAGAGGCAGCCGGGUCACUGCUGCACUUGGCAGGGAUUCGGUCCUGUUUGAACAAUAUCACCAAUCCUACUGGCAAAGGGACAGAAAGAGCAAAAGGGAACCACAAAACAUUGA